This is a long non-coding RNA of Felis catus (domestic cat), 3304 nucleotides long. RefSeq lists it as uncharacterized. The record is from RefSeq and is a predicted model, not a curated record. NCBI's taxonomy places the organism in Eukaryota, Metazoa, Chordata, Mammalia, Carnivora, Felidae. The transcript is spliced from 6 exons.
ACAAUCCCUGUCUCCCCACCAUGUCUCACUAUGCUGGGUGGGUGAGAUGUUGGGGCUAGUGGCAGGGGCUGCUGAAGGACACUCCGUGCUUCCACAGGAUCAGGUCCAGAGUAGGGUUGAUGCAAACAGCAUCCUGGAGCCACUGAAAAGUCCCAGAAACCAUGACUUAACCAGUAGUAAUGCGCCCUCCGUCUCCUGGAUUGUGGUCCUGAAUAUUACUGAAAAGAAGCCAGGCUCUUUGGAGAAAUGGAUGAUACCAGAUGUGGGGCAGGAAAUGUACAAGAAAAGAUGAAUCUAGGCAAUAUUAUCGGUGACUGCUAAUAGCACAAGAGGGACAACCAGACAUUGUGUGCUCCGGAUGGAAGUAUACAGCACCACCGAUGAAGUGUUCUUGCAAAGAGUUCCAGCCUGAAUCUGAUCAAGCUUCUAGAUCUAAAUACCAGUUGUUGGGGACAAGAUGAUAUUGGGGGAAGUGUGAAGUGCUUUGAAGGCUGCCAACAAAAUGCCAAGUCAGCCCAUUGACAGAAAAAGGAAGAGAAACCUUUGGAAAAUACAUUAUUGUUUCCCAUUAGCUUACUUUCCAUCUGAAUCUGAGCACCUGACCUGAGGAAGGAGAGUGAACAUAGAAUGGCGAAUUUGUUCUAGGACAGUGAGUGAUCUGAGAGUGUUGGGAAGAGGGAGCCAUGCUGCGUAGACCAGAAAGCAGGGCAAUGGAGGAAUGGAUACAAUAGAUGCAGAAAAAAACAUUUGAGAAAAUACAACAACAUGUGAUGAAAACUCUCAGGAAACCAGGGAUAAAUGGAAUUUCCUCAACCUGACAGAGCAUUUAUGAAAGACCUGCAGUUAACAUCAUAUUUACUGGUGAAAGAUUGAAUAAUUUCCCUCUAGGUUGGGAAAUAAGGAAAAGCAUGACCACUUUCACCACAUCUAUUUGACAUUGUACUGGAAGUCAUAGCCAGUGCAAUAAGACAGGAAAAAGAAGUAAGAGAUGACAUAUAUUGGGAAAGAAAUAAACUAUUCCCAGAUGACAUAAUUGUCUCCAUAGAAAAUCUUAAUAAAUCUAUUAAAAAGCUAUUAGAACAACUAAGUAAUUUUAUGGGCUUGUAGGACAUAAGGUCAAAAUGUACAAAAUGUACAAAGAUAAAUUGUAUUUCCCUAUAUUAGCAACAAAAGUAUCAGACUUGAAAUUAAUAGUGCCUUUUAAAAUAACAUCAAAAAUAUAAAAUCAUUUAGAGAAAAUAUAAAAUAUUUAUGGAAAACAUUUACACACAAAUCUGUACUUAUUGAAUAUAUUUUUAGUGUACUGAAAAAUAUUUGCUGAGAAAAAUUUUUAAAGACUUAAGAGACUUCCAGUUUAUGGUUCUGUAGUAAAGAUAUUGGAAGUCUCCACUCUGUCCUAACAACAGGUAAAAAGCUAAAUGAGCAAAAAAUCAACAACUCUUCUUAGAUCCAUAGGAGAGGGGAGGACACAGGACACAGGGCCAGUUACUACACCCAAGACUUGUGAGGCAGACAUGCAAAUGCAGGGAGUCAUGACUAGAAACCAGCACAGGAACCAGUGCCGGGGUAGGAAACCCUGAACUAUAAUUGACAAACUGCUGGAGGCUCAGUGUGGAAAAGUAUGAGAGUUAAAAACUCCAGGAGGACCCCAGUCAUAGGGGAGGAUCUCAUAAUUCUAUGAGAUUUAUCUCUAGGAGUUAGACUACUUUCCCACAGUAAAUAUCCAGGAAAAGUCCCCUUGUGAUUCUGGCAGGCAGAAGGGAAAAGGAAUCAUUUUGAAAUAUGCCUGGGUACUCUGUUCUUAACAAGGUCUGCACUCAGGGGAAACUAGUUAACCAGAGCUUAACUUUUGCUGGGGUAUUUUUCAGACUGGGGGAAAGGGAGAGCACGAGUUCUAGCUGGCUGUAGCAGUCUUGUCCCACCUCAGGUGGGGAAGAAAAAACCAAGAAACGCAUGUGAAGUUCAAAGUCAAGAGGCCCAGGCUCACUAAAAGACUAAGACCUAAUCACAGGACUGUAGAAAGCUUUCCCUCCCAUCACACCUCAUGACCACAUUACUAAAGGCCUAUUUACAGCAGUUCCUUCUACCCAGUACAUCAUAUCCAGCUAUCAAGAAAAAAUCACAAGGCAUACCAAGAGGCAAAAAACACACUUUGAGAGAGCAAGCAUCAGAACCAGACAUGUCAGGGAUGUUGGAAUUAUCACACCAAGGAUUUAAAAUGAUUAUGAUAUUUUAUUUUAUUUUAUUAUUUUAUUUUAUUUUAUUUAUUUUUUUAUGUUAUGUUGUUAUGUUAUGUUAUGUUAUGUUAUGUUAUGUUAUGUUAUGUUAUGUUAUGUUAUGUUAUGUUAAGGGAAGCUAAUGGAUAAAAUUGACUUUAUGCAAGAACAGAUGGUAUAUGUAAGCAGAGACAUCGAAGUCAUAAGAAAGAACCAAAAAGAAAUGCUAGAGAUGAAGAACACUGUAAGAGAAAUUUAGAUUGCUUUGAUGGGCUUAUUAGUAGAUUGGAUACAGCUGAGGAAAGAAUCUGUAGCUAGAGGCAAUUUCAGUGGAGUCCUUCAAGACUGAAAAGCAAAGAGAACAAAGACUGGAAAAAACGGAACAGGAUAUCCAAGGACUAUAGGACAACUACAAAAGGUAUAAAAUACAAAUAAUGGUAGUACCAGGAGGGAAGGGAGAUUGAAAGGAACAGAAAAAAUAUUUUAAGCAAUAGUGACAGAAAAUUUCCCAAAUUAAUGUCAGGCAUCAAACCACAGAUCCAGAAAGCUUAGAAAACACCAAGCAGGAUAAAUGCCAAAAAGCUACACAUAGGCAUAUUAUUUUCAAACUACAGAAAAUCAAAGAUAAUGAAAAAUUCUGAAAGAAGCCUGAGGGGGAAGAAAUCUUAUCUAUAAAAGAACAAGAUUACAUCUGACGUCUCAGAAACCAUGAGAGCAAGGAGAGUGUAGUGAAAUAUUUAAAAUCUUGAGGAAAAAAAUUGACCUAGAAUUCUGUACCCUGUGAAAUUAUCCUUCAAAAGUGAAGGAGAAAUUAAGACUUUCUCAGACAAACAGAAAUUGAGAUAAUGUGUUUCCAGUAUACCUACCUUGCAAGAAAUGUUAAAAGAAGUUUUUUAGAGAGAGGAAAAAUAGUACAUAGAUCAGUAACUUGGAUCUAAACAAGAAUACUGAGGAAGGAAAAUACUGAAGAAGGAAUACAUGAAGGUAAAAUAAAAACUUAUUUUUCUUAUUUUUAAUUGAUCUAAUAGGUAACAGUUCAUUUAAAAUGACUUGUGUCAUAGGGGCGCCUGGGUGGCUUAGCUGGUGAA